This 253-nucleotide ribosomal RNA is filed under the name uncultured bacterium. Its description in RNAcentral is "partial 16S ribosomal RNA". It matches the Rfam family "Bacterial small subunit ribosomal RNA", at positions 524 to 776 of the family's 1533-position model. The record is from RNAcentral.
UACAGAGGUGGCAAGCGUUGUUCGGAAUUACUGGGCGUAAAGGGCUCGUAGGUGGCCAACUAAGUCAUACGUGAAAUCCCUCAGCUUAACUGGGGAACUGCGUCUGAUACUGGAUGGCUUGAGUUUGGGAGAGGGAUGCGGAAUUCCAGGUGUAGCGGUGAAAUGCGCAGAUAUCAGGAGGAACACCAACAGCGAAGGCAGCACUCUGGGCCGGUACUGACGCUGAGGAGCGAAAGCAUGGGGAGCGAACAGG